RNAcentral lists this ribosomal RNA (803 nucleotides) under Brachybacterium sp. MCCC 1A10537. RNAcentral's name for it is "bacterial SSU rRNA". It matches the Rfam family "Bacterial small subunit ribosomal RNA", at positions 68 to 880 of the family's 1533-position model. Lineage: Bacteria; Bacillati; Actinomycetota; Actinomycetes; Micrococcales; Dermabacteraceae. The record is from RNAcentral.
GAUGACGGUGGUGCUUGCACCGCCUGAUUAGUGGCGAACGGGUGAGUAACACGUGAGUAACCUGCCCUCCACUUCGGGAUAACCUCGGGAAAUCGUGGCUAAUACCGGAUAUGAGCACUCAUCGCAUGGUGGGUGUUGGAAAGAUUUAUCGGUGGGGGAUGGACUCGCGGCCUAUCAGUUUGUUGGUGAGGUGAUGGCUCACCAAGACGAUGACGGGUAGCCGGCCUGAGAGGGCGACCGGCCACACUGGGACUGAGACACGGCCCAGACUCCUACGGGAGGCAGCAGUGGGGAAUAUUGCACAAUGGGCGAAAGCCUGAUGCAGCGACGCCGCGUGGGGGAUGACGGCCUUCGGGUUGUAAACCCCUUUCAGUAGGGAAGAAGCGAGAGUGACGGUACCUGCAGAAGAAGCGCCGGCUAACUACGUGCCAGCAGCCGCGGUAAUACGUAGGGCGCAAGCGUUGUCCGGAAUUAUUGGGCGUAAAGAGCUUGUAGGUGGCUUGUCGCGUCUGCCGUGAAAACCCGAGGCUCAACCUCGGGCGUGCGGUGGGUACGGGCAGGCUAGAGUGUGGUAGGGGAGACUGGAACUCCUGGUGUAGCGGUGAAAUGCGCAGAUAUCAGGAAGAACACCGAUGGCGAAGGCAGGUCUCUGGGCCAUUACUGACACUGAGAAGCGAAAGCAUGGGUAGCGAACAGGAUUAGAUACCCUGGUAGUCCAUGCCGUAAACGUUGGGCACUAGGUGUGGGGGACAUUCCACGUUUUCCGCGCCGUAGCUAACGCAUUAAGUGCCCCGCCUGGGGAG